Homo sapiens (human) is the source of this 528-nucleotide long non-coding RNA. NCBI's taxonomy places the organism in Eukaryota, Metazoa, Chordata, Mammalia, Primates, Hominidae. The record is from Ensembl.
UUGCAUCUUGGAACAGAAAAUAGAAGAGGUGUCCUCGCAGGAGUGACAUCGUCUUUAAAUCCUAUGUGGCAAUCCCUGACGCACCGUCGUGAUGCCCACGGAAGACAGGGUGACCUGGAAGUCCAACUACUUCCUUAAGAUCAUCCAGCUUUUGGAUGGUUAUCCGAAAUGUUUCAUGGUGGGAGCAGACAAUCUGGGCUCCAAGCAGAUGCAGCAGAUCCUCAAGUCCCUCCGAGGGAAGGCCAUGGUGCUGAUGGGCAAGAAACCAUGAUGCUCAAGGCCAUCCAAGGGCACCUGGAAAACAGCCGAGCUCUGGAGAAACUGUUGCCUCGUAUCCAGGGAAAUGUGGGCUUUGUGUUCACCAAGGAGGACCUCACUGAGAUCAGGGACAUGCUGGUAGCCAGUAAGGUGCCAGGAGCCACCUGUGCUGGUGCCAUUGCCCCAUGUGAUGUCACUGUGCCAGGCCAUCCUUGAGAAGACCUCCUUUUUUAUUUUUUUGAGAUGGAGUUUCCCUGUUGUUGCCCAGGC